UGGUGUGUAGGUCAGUAGUAGAGCACUUGCCUAGCAUGCAAGAGGCCCUGAGUUCUAAACACAGCACUCCUU
Molecule: transfer RNA, 72 nt
Filed under: Cavia porcellus (domestic guinea pig)
Lineage: Eukaryota; Metazoa; Chordata; Mammalia; Rodentia; Caviidae
Rfam family: tRNA
About the family: Transfer RNA (tRNA) molecules are approximately 80 nucleotides in length.
Source: Rfam by way of RNAcentral